CAAAAAAGAGAAAGAAGAGCAAUGAAAAACUUUUUUUUUUCCGGGGAAACUAGGGCUAAAAACGGAAGGUUGUUUGAACCGUAUGGUUCAAACAUAAAGGUGGCUUCGGCUACCACUUACGGAUGGACCCGCGGCGCAUUAGCUAGUUGGUGAGGUAACGGCUCUCCAAGGCUACGAUGCGUACCGACCUGAGAGGGUGAUCGGCCACACUGGGACUGAGACACGGCCCACACUCCUACGGGAGGCAGCAGUAGGGAAUCUUCCGCAAUGGACGAAAGUCUGACGGAGCAACGCCGCGUGAGUGAUGAAGGUUUUCGGAUCGUAAAGCUCUGUUGUUAGGGAAGAACAAGUACCGUUCGAAUAGGGCGGUACCUUGACGGUACCUAACCAGAAAGCCACGGCUAACUACGUGCCAGCAGCCGCGGUAAUACUAGGUGGCAAGCGUUGUCCGGAAUUAUUGGGCGUAAAGGGCUCGCAGGCGGUUUCUUAAGUCUGAUGUGAAAGCCCCCGGCUCAACCGGGGAGGGUCAUUGAAAACUGGGGAACUUGAGUGCAGAAGAGGAGAGUGGAAUUCCACGUGUAGCGGUGAAAUGCGUAGAGAUGUGGAGGAACACCAGUGGCGAAAGCGACUCUCUGGUCUGUAACUGACGCUGAGGAGCGAAARCGUGSGGAGCGAACASGAUUAUAUACCCUGGUAGUCCACGCCGUAAACGAUGAGUGCUAAGUGUUAGGGGGUUUCCGCCCCUUAGUGCUGCAGCUAACGCAUUAAGCACUCCGCCYGGGGAGUACGGUCGCAAGACUGAAACUCAAAGGAAUUGACGGGGGSCCGCACCAGCGGUGGAGCAUGUGGUUUAAUUCGAAGCAACGCGAAGAACCUUACCAGGUCUUGACAUCCUCUGACAAUCCUAGAGAUAGGCACGUCCCCUUCGGGGGCAGAGUGACAGGUGGUGCAUGGUUGUCGUCAGCUCGUGUCGUGAGAUGUUGKGGUUAAGUCCCGCAACGAGCGCAACCCUUGAUUUUUGUUGCCAGCAUUCAGUUGGGCACUCUAAGGAGACUGCCGGUGACAAACCGGAGGAAGGUGGGGAAGCAGUCAAAUCAUCAUGCCCCUUAUGACCUGGGCUACCCACGUGCUCCAAUGGACAGAACAAAGGGCAGCGAAACCGCGAGGUUAAGCCAAAUCCCACAAAUCUGUUCUCAUUUCGGAUC
This 1205-nucleotide ribosomal RNA is filed under the name Bacillus subtilis. RNAcentral's name for it is "partial 16S ribosomal RNA". It matches the Rfam family "Bacterial small subunit ribosomal RNA", at positions 99 to 1299 of the family's 1533-position model. The record is from RNAcentral. Lineage: Bacteria; Bacillati; Bacillota; Bacilli; Caryophanales; Bacillaceae.